This 460-nucleotide ribosomal RNA is filed under the name uncultured bacterium. RNAcentral's name for it is "partial 16S ribosomal RNA". It matches the Rfam family "Bacterial small subunit ribosomal RNA", at positions 338 to 795 of the family's 1533-position model. The record is from RNAcentral.
CCUACGGGGAGCAGCAGUGAGGAAUAUUGGUCAAUGGGCUUACGCCUGAACCAGCCAAGUCGCGUGAGGGAAGACUGCCCUAUGGGUUGUAAACCUCUUUUGUCAGGGAGCAAUUGGCGCUACGUGUAGCGUUAUCGAGAGUACCUGAAGAAAAAGCAUCGGCUAACUCCGUGCCAGCAGCCGCGGUAAUACGGAGGAUGCGAGCGUUAUCCGGAUUUAUGGGGUUUAAAGGCUGCGUAGGCGGAAUGCCAAGUCAGCGGUAAAAUCGCGGGGCUCAACCUCGCUCCGCCGUUGAGACUGGCAGGCUUGAGUGGGCGAGAAGGAUGCAGAAUGCGUGGUGUAGCGGUGAAAUGCAUAGAUAUCACGCAGAACUCCGGUUGCGAAGGCAGCAUACCGGCGCCCGACUGACGCUGAAGUGCGAAAGCGUGGGUAUCGAACAGGAUUAGAUACCCGGGUAGUC